Molecule: long non-coding RNA, 439 nt
Filed under: Heterocephalus glaber (naked mole-rat)
Lineage: Eukaryota; Metazoa; Chordata; Mammalia; Rodentia; Bathyergidae
Description: lncRNA (ENSHGLG00100052274.1)
Source: RNAcentral
AGACCAGAGGCUGAAUCUUUUCCAUAUUCAUGAGGGCAGCACUACUGCGAGGCUGGGUAGUGGGAAGUGACUCAGGGCUGGUGUAAAUCACUCAGCAGGAAGAUGAGACAACGGAGGAACUCUUCAUCCUCCAGGGAGCCUGGAAGGUUUCCCCUGUGAGUCCCCACCCACCAAGCUUCCCUUCCAUCUCCACCUCCCUCCUGCCUCUGGUGAGGACCCAAGGAGAAGACUGGGGGUUCUAGCUGUGUCUACUCAGAAAACUGAAGAAUGGGAAAGAGACAAGACUGAAGCAGAUGUGGAAGAUUGCAUGUGGAAAAAUAGCGCCUCAGGAAAAAAUGUCCUGGAAACACAUCUCCAGAUAAGCACUGCUGAGAAAAAUAUGGAAGUAAAUAAAGGAGCUCCUCUGUACUAAAGAGGUUGAAGAUGAACCGUCUCCUGU